Molecule: ribosomal RNA, 485 nt
Filed under: uncultured bacterium
Lineage: Bacteria
Description: partial 16S ribosomal RNA
Rfam family: Bacterial small subunit ribosomal RNA
Source: RNAcentral
AUUGAACGCUGGCGGCAGGCUUAACACAUGCAAGUCGAGCGGGGAAAGGUAGCUUGCUACCUGACCUAGCGGCGGACGGGUGAGUAAUGCUUAGGAAUCUGCCUAUUAGUGGGGGACAACAUCUCGACAGGGAUGCUAAUACCGCAUACGUCCUACGGGAGAAAGCAGGGGACCUUCGGGCCUUGCGCUAAUAGAUGAGCCUAAGUCGGAUUAGCUAGUUGGUGGGGUAAAGGCCUACCAAGGCGACGAUCUGUAGCGGGUCUGAGAGGAUGAUCCGCCACACUGGGACUGAGACACGGCCCAGACUCCUACGGGAGGCAGCAGUGGGGAAUAUUGGACAAUGGGGGGAACCCUGAUCCAGCCAUGCCGCGUGUGUGAAGAAGGCCUUUUGGUUGUAAAGCACUUUAAGCGAGGAGGAGACUACCGAGAUUAAUACUCUUGGAUAGUGGACGUUACUCGCAGAAUAAGCACCGGCUAACUCUGUG